Molecule: ribosomal RNA, 433 nt
Filed under: uncultured bacterium
Lineage: Bacteria
Description: partial 16S ribosomal RNA
Rfam family: Bacterial small subunit ribosomal RNA
Source: RNAcentral
AACGAACGCUGGCGGCAUGCCUAACACAUGCAAGUCGAACGAGACCUUCGGGUCUAGUGGCGCACGGGUGCGUAACGCGUGGGAACCUGCCCUUAGGUUCGGAAUAACUCCCCGACAGGGGUGCUAAUACCGGAUAAUGUCUUCGGACCAAAGAUUUAUCGCCUUUGGAUGGGCCCGCGUUGGAUUAGCUUGUUGGUAGGGUAAAAGCCUACCAAGGCGACGAUCCAUAGCUGGUCUGAGAGGAUGAUCAGCCACACUGGGACUGAGACACGGCCCAGACUCCUACGCGAGGCAGCAGUGGGGAAUAUUGGACAAUGGGCGGAAGCCUGAUCCAGCAAUGCCGCGUGAGUGAUGAAGGCCGUAGGGUUGUAAAGCUCUUUUACCCGGGAUGAUAAUGACAGUACCGGGAGAAUAAGCUCCGGCUAACUCCGUG